UGGGGAGCAAACAGGAUUAGAUACCCUGGUAGUCCACGCCGUAAACGAUGUCUACUUGGAGGUUGUGCCCUUGAGGCGUGGCUUCCGGAGCUAACGCGUUAAGUAGACCGCCUGGGGAGUACGGCCGCAAGGUUAAAACUCAAAUGAAUUGACGGGGGCCCGCACAAGCGGUGGAGCAUGUGGUUUAAUUCGAUGCAACGCGAAGAACCUUACCUGGUCUUGACAUCCACAGAAYUYUSCAGAGAUGCGGAAGUGCCUUCGGGAACUGUGAGACAGGUGCUGCAUGGCUGUCGUCAGCUCGUGUUGUGAAAUGUUGGGUUAAGUCCCGCAACGAGCGCAACCCUUAUCCUUUGUUGCCAGCGGUUAGGCCGGGAACUCAAAGGAGACUGCCAGUGAUAAACUGGAGGAAGGUGGGGAUGACGUCAAGUCAUCAUGGCCCUUACGACCAGGGCUACACACGUGCUACAAUGGCGCAUACAAAGAGAAGCGACCUCGCGAGAGCAAGCGGACCUCAUAAAGUGCGUCGUAGUCCGGAUUGGAGUCUGCAACUCGACUCCAUGAAGUCGGAAUCGCUAGUAAUCGUGGAUCAGAAUGCCACGGUGAAUACGUUCCCGGGCC
RNAcentral lists this ribosomal RNA (618 nucleotides) under Salmonella enterica. RNAcentral's name for it is "bacterial SSU rRNA". The record is from RNAcentral. Lineage: Bacteria; Pseudomonadati; Pseudomonadota; Gammaproteobacteria; Enterobacterales; Enterobacteriaceae.